RNAcentral lists this unclassified non-coding RNA (383 nucleotides) under Hevea brasiliensis (rubber tree). Lineage: Eukaryota; Viridiplantae; Streptophyta; Magnoliopsida; Malpighiales; Euphorbiaceae. The record is from RNAcentral.
AAAAGGACAUGAAGCUGAGCAAGCAAUACUAAAUAGGGCAACUAGUCCUCAAACUGGUGGUCAGCAAACAGGGGGAAGUUUGAAAUCAAUGAAAGAGAAAUCCAAUCAGCCAGAAAAAGAAGUGCAGGAGGCUUCUGGCUUAAAGACUGCCGGUCCCGAAGGAGAAAUAACUGCAGGUUUUUUGUUAAAGAAAAGUGCAAAAAAUGAUGGAUGGAGCAAGCUAUGGUUUGUUUUGAAUGAAAAGACUGGGAAGCUUGGUUACACAAAAAAGCAAGAGGAGAGACAUUUUCGUGGUGUCAUCCCAUUGGAGGAAUGCAAUAUUGAAGAGGUUUCAGACGAGGAAGAGCCUCCCUUAAAGAGUUCAAAGGAUAAAAAGGCCAAUG